AUUGAACGCUGGCGGCAGGCCUAACACAUGCAAGUCGAACGAGUGGCGGACGGGUGAGUAAUGUCUGGGAAACUGCCUGCUGGAUGUGGAUCACUACUGGACACGGUAGCUAAUACCGCAUACCAUCGGAUGUGCCCAGAUUGGAUGAGCUAGUAGUAGGGGUAACGGCUCACCGAGGCCACGAUCCCUAGUUGGUCUGAGAGGAUGACCAGCCACACUGGAACUGAGACACGGUCCAGACUCCUACGGGAGGCAGCAGUGGGGAAUAUUGCACAAUGGGCGCAAGCCUGAUGCAGCCAUGCCGCGUGUAUGAAGAAGGCCUUCGGGUUGUAAAGUACUUUCAGCGGGGAGGCGUUACCCGCAGAAGAAGCACCGGCUAACUCCGUGCCAGCAGCCGCGGUAAUUC
RNAcentral lists this ribosomal RNA (406 nucleotides) under uncultured bacterium. RNAcentral's name for it is "partial 16S ribosomal RNA". It matches the Rfam family "Bacterial small subunit ribosomal RNA", at positions 30 to 526 of the family's 1533-position model. The record is from RNAcentral.